UGGGGAAUAUUGCACAAUGGGCGCAAGCCUGAUGCAGCCAUGCCGCGUGUAUGAAGAAGGCCUUCGGGUUGUAAAGUAUUUUUCAGCGGGGAGGAAGGCGAUAAGGUUAAUAACCUUGUCGAUUGACGUUACCCGCAGAAGAAGCACGGCUAACUCCGUGCCAGCAGCCGCGGUAAUACGGAGGGUGCAAGCGUUAAUCGGAAUUACUGGGCGUAAAAGCGCACGCAGGCGGUCUGUCAAGUCGGAUGUGAAAAUCCCCGGGCUCAACCUGGGAACUGCAUUCGAAACUGGCAGCUGGAGUCUUGUAGAGGGGGGUAGAAUUCCAGGUGUAGCGGUGAAAAUGCGUAGAGAUCUGGAGGAAUACCGGUGGCGAAGGCGGCCCCCUGG
This 387-nucleotide ribosomal RNA is filed under the name uncultured Enterobacteriaceae bacterium. RNAcentral's name for it is "bacterial SSU rRNA". It matches the Rfam family "Bacterial small subunit ribosomal RNA", at positions 355 to 732 of the family's 1533-position model. Lineage: Bacteria; Pseudomonadati; Pseudomonadota; Gammaproteobacteria; Enterobacterales; Enterobacteriaceae. The record is from RNAcentral.